Molecule: ribosomal RNA, 253 nt
Filed under: uncultured bacterium
Lineage: Bacteria
Description: partial 16S ribosomal RNA
Rfam family: Bacterial small subunit ribosomal RNA
Source: RNAcentral
UACAGAGGCCUCGAGCGUUAAUCGGAAUCACUGGGCUUAAAGGGUGCGUAGGCGGCGCUGCAAGUGCCUUGUGAAAUCCCAUGGCUUAACCAUGGAACUGCUCGGUAGACUGCAGCGCUUGAGGUUGGUAGGGGCUGCCGGAACUCUAGGUGGAGCGGUGAAAUGCGUAGAUAUCUAGAGGAACGCCCAAGGCGAAGGCAGGCAGCUGGGCCAAUUCUGACGCUGAGGCACGAAAGCGUGGGGAGCAAACGGG